Molecule: non-coding RNA, 144 nt
Organism: Citrus sinensis (sweet orange)
Lineage: Eukaryota; Viridiplantae; Streptophyta; Magnoliopsida; Sapindales; Rutaceae
Source: Rfam
GAGACAAGAGGCUGUCCGCUUUGCCAAGGAGACUGCCUGCCAACCAAACGAAAAGGCUUCUAGCAGCUGCUUUAAUUCGUAACACUUAGUAAUAUUGCAAGCCGCAUGCAAGUCAUCCUUGGCUAUCAAACAAUACUCUUAUCU